CGCGAGACAGCGCGAGCCUCCGAGAAAGCGCGAGACACGCCGGCGCGUGCAGCUGGGCGGCCGCCGCUUUGCCCUGGUUGGAGCCCCGCGCCGCCCGAAGCCAGCCCGCCAGCCCGCGAACCAGCGAGCGCCCUGUUAUUUAUGUGGCGGCCGCAUCCGCUGGCUGCGGGUUCCUCUGCCCCCCACUCGCGGCCGCGGCUGCCGGGACUCGCGCGUGGGUGUGUUAUCUGGGGGCUUCCGCCGGGGCGCCACGGGUGCCACCUCCUGGGACGCUGCCCACCGCGUCCUUGGUCGCGGCCUAUGCUAAUGUGAUGCUGAGAUUGAAUUUACCUAGGAUUCUAUUUCAAGAUUGACUCUAAAGUCCUGUGGACAAUUUGGAAGAAAUACG
This 388-nucleotide long non-coding RNA is filed under the name Cavia porcellus (domestic guinea pig). RNAcentral describes it as "lncRNA (ENSCPOG00000030174.1)". The record is from RNAcentral. Lineage: Eukaryota; Metazoa; Chordata; Mammalia; Rodentia; Caviidae.